Molecule: long non-coding RNA, 848 nt
Organism: Zingiber officinale
Lineage: Eukaryota; Viridiplantae; Streptophyta; Magnoliopsida; Zingiberales; Zingiberaceae
Exons: 3
Source: RefSeq, a predicted model, not a curated record
ACUGGGGACCACCUUAACGUGACAACCUUAGCCGGUAACCAUGCGCUACGUGUAUUUGCUAAGCAAGAUUUUCAUUGAGAAAAAGGUUAAUUUGAAUGAACCAUCAGAGUAGUUUGUCGACCUCCUCUACUUCCAAACAGAGGUUGAGGAUUCACUGAGAAUGAGGCGAUCGAGAAUCCAUCACUUUAUGCCGAUCUUAUCAAUGAUGCUCUCGCUGCGGACAAAUAGGUGAAUUCCAAAGAGAAAGGCACGGCUUCAAACUCAAAGCAGCGGAUAAGCUGGGCGAAUACUCGAAGCUCAUUCUAAUGAGAAAGGCAAGGGCAAGAGGAGGUUGAUAAGAGGAUUGUUGCACCAUCUACGCCAUCUGUUUUUGCAGUAUCACAACGGUCUAUGUCGCAUAAUCAAAGUAGGUCGACUUCGAAGGUUUCUAGUGAUGAGUGUGCUUAUUGCAAAGAAAAACAACAUUGAAAGUCUCAGUGUCCAUUAUUGUUGAACAAAGGUAAACUACCGCAGUAACAAAAAUGACCAUCACAACAGCAAUAUCAGCAACAACGACCUCAACAACCACUAUUGCUAUAUCAGAAUGCUUCAUAGAAAUCUGGACUCACGAUCUCAGAAGGUGAUCAUGAUAGGUCGUAGGCAAGGGGGACUCUAUGUCUUGAAUAAGCUUCAAGUACCAGAUAUUGCAGCUUCUAGUGUCAAUUUGUCAUAUUUUCGAUUGAGUUGUUCUUCUGAUUUUUUUUAUUUAUAGCAUAUUCAUCUAGGUCAUGUUUCAGCCUUUCAUUUAUAAUUUUUAGCAUCGUCUGGAGUAUUAGGAACUUUAAAAAGUCAUGAUAUUUCAUAUUAUU